RNAcentral lists this ribosomal RNA (1052 nucleotides) under uncultured Corynebacterium sp. RNAcentral's name for it is "bacterial SSU rRNA". It matches the Rfam family "Bacterial small subunit ribosomal RNA", at positions 337 to 1393 of the family's 1533-position model. Lineage: Bacteria; Bacillati; Actinomycetota; Actinomycetes; Mycobacteriales; Corynebacteriaceae. The record is from RNAcentral.
UCCUACGGGAGGCAGCAGUGGGGAAUAUUGCACAAUGGGCGCAAGCCUGAUGCAGCGACGCCGCGUGGGGGAUGACGGCCUUCGGGUUGUAAACUCCUUUCGCUAGGGACGAAGCUUAUUCUGUGACGGUACCUGGAGAAUAAGCACCGGCUAACUACGUGCCAGCAGCCGCGGUAAUACGUAGGGUGCGAGCGUUGUCCGGAAUUACUGGGCGUAAAGAGCUCGUAGGUGGUUUGUCGCGUCGUUUGUGUAAGCCCGCAGCUUAACUGCGGGACUGCAGGCGAUACGGGCAUAACUUGAGUGCUGUAGGGGAGACUGGAAUUCCUGGUGUAGCGGUGGAAUGCGCAGAUAUCAGGAGGAACACCGAUGGCGAAGGCAGGUCUCUGGGCAGUAACUGACGCUGAGGAGCGAAAGCAUGGGGAGCGAACAGGAUUAGAUACCCUGGUAGUCCAUGCCGUAAACGGUGGGCGCUAGGUGUGAGUCCCUUCCACGGGGUUCGUGCCGUAGCUAACGCAUUAAGCGCCCCGCCUGGGGAGUACGGCCGCAAGGCUAAAACUCAAAGGAAUUGACGGGGGCCCGCACAAGCGGCGGAGCAUGUGGAUUAAUUCGAUGCAACGCGAAGAACCUUACCUGGGCUUGACAUACACCAGAUAGGGCCAGAGAUGGUCUUUCCCUUUGUGGUUGGUGUACAGGUGGUGCAUGGUUGUCGUCAGCUCGUGUCGUGAGAUGUUGGGUUAAGUCCCGCAACGAGCGCAACCCUUGUCUUAUGUUGCCAGCACGUUAUGGUGGGGACUCGUGAGAGACUGCCGGGGUUAACUCGGAGGAAGGCGGGGAUGACGUCAAAUCAUCAUGCCCCUUAUGUCCAGGGCUUCACACAUGCUACAAUGGUCGGUACAACGCGCAUGCGAGCCUGUGAGGGUGAGCGAAUCGCUGUCAAAGCCGGUCGUAGUUCGGAUUGGGGUCUGCAACUCGACCCCAUGAAGUCGGAGUCGCUAGUAAUCGCAGAUCAGCAACGCUGCGGUGAAUACGUUCCCGGGCCUUGUACACACCGC